RNAcentral lists this unclassified non-coding RNA (2456 nucleotides) under Gigantopelta aegis. RNAcentral describes it as "phosphatidylinositol-glycan-specific phospholipase D- like, transcript variant X2". Lineage: Eukaryota; Metazoa; Mollusca; Gastropoda; Neomphalida; Peltospiridae. The record is from RNAcentral.
UCUUGUGACAGAUCGAAGUUUAUUUAUAAAUAUUUUUUUAACCUACAUUUUAAAUAUGUUUCAAUUUAAUACUAUUUUAAGUGUUAUAUGUUUUGCUUCUUGUGUCACUAUAAAUGUCAGCGCAUGUGGAGCGAUCACUCAUAUUGAAAUAAGUCACAGAGCCCUUGAGCAUUUCAAAAAUGUAUCUACUGUAUAUGAUUAUCAAAAGCUAGCCUGGAAGCAUCAGGAUGCAUUCCAAGCAGGAUCAUCGUAUCCAGACUCUUACUAUGACAGUAUUUGUGCCAAAGGUAUUUAUCACAGUGUAUCAGAAGAUACACACUGGUCUCCAUAUAUUAAUGCCACAAUCAAUCACAUCCAAAAAUAUUACCCGCUACCCUGGGAUAAAGCUACAGAAAAGCUGGUGGUCUUCAUGCUUGGCGUCGUGUCACACCAGGUGGCAGACAUCUUGUGGCACAACCUCGGUAUUCAGCAGGGAUUUCUCCAAACAAUGGCCAAUAUCAACUUCCAUGGUGCAUUUGCGAAAGCUCAUACUGUAGGGGACUUUGGAGGUGAUGUUUUGAAUUUAUUCAACCUCAACAUGAGUUUUGUGGGUGAAAUAUCUGAAUGGUAUAUUCCGGUGGAUGAUCUUUACAAGAUAUAUUUGGAGAUGUAUGGUUCAGAGAAGAUACCGGUCAGUAUCAUCAAAGAAUGUACUACAAUCAUGUUCCUUGAAAGACUGGGAGAGAUGGUUGCUCUGUCAAAGCUGUCUUCUUUCAUCUCGGACUUGAGUCCAUUUCUUCUGGAUCAGUUGGAUGACUUCUUUGUGGGUGGAGUAGAUGACAUGGCUGCAUGGACUCAGAUCAUCUGGAAGGAUUUCAUACACAUGCUUGAACAUGGUCAAAAAGGUUGCAAUCUUCCCCACAACCCUUUAUUCAUCAACUGCACAUCUGGAAAUAAGAUCAGACCGAGAAAUAGCUUCAAGAAUGCCAGAGAACAGGGCAUUUUUCAAAAGUUUUUCUUAAAUGGCCUUUCCACUGGGGAUGUUAUUGUCAAAAGAGCCUACAGAGGUAUUGUCAUCAAAGCAAGUCCUGCAAUUAUGAAACAGUUUAGAGACCGACAAAAAUAUAAGAAGGGAGAACAAUGGCAGAAAUUGGUUAAGAGCAAAGAAGAACUGUCAUUCCAGAAACAACUCAAAGGAAAUCAGAUGGAACCUACUGGCAUUUACACAGUUAAAGAGAAAUAUGCGAAACUUGGAUGGUCAUAUGCUGUUGGUGACCUGAAUCAUGACGGAAUGGAUGACCUUGCUAUUGGAGCUCCAGGGUAUGGUAGUGACACAAGUCCACAGGAUGGCAGAGUUUAUAUCUUACAUGCUACAGAAUAUGGUCUACCGAAAGGCAAUAUAGAUCUCAAUAAAUUUGCAACAGUUCUUUAUGGGCCAUACAAGGCUCAGUCCAGGUUUGGCUCUUCCAUCGCCAUUAUCGACAUUAAUCAAGAUGGUUACAAUGAUAUUGCUGUAGGCUGCCCCAAUUAUAACUCUAAAACAAUACCACUCAAAUAUCAUGGAGCAGUGAUGGUGUAUUACGGACAUCCGGAAGCCAAAUACAGAUUUUCUUCCAUCAACAUGACCAUUCACUGCAAAGAUCAGUACUGCAAUGCUGGCUGGUCACUGGAAUCAGGGGAUGUCAACCAAGAUGGCCGGCCAGAUCUGAUACUUGCUUCUCCAUUUGCACCUGCAGGUGGCACUCAACGUGGAUUUGUAGGAAGCGUCUACUCCAGUACAAAAUAUCAAAUUCCUAGUGUCAUACUUUCAGUUUCUCAACUGGACUGGAUUGAUAGAGGCAUGCAGAACUUUAGCUGGCUUGGUCACCAUAUCAAGUUUGCUGAACAUCCAAAUGGCAAGAAAGUUCUGUUUGCUAGUCAACCAACAUUCAGAAAAUGUGCAAGUCCUGGAUGUGUUAUAAGUCCCAAUGACACGCAGAGUGUUGGUCAGUUUUCUAUGUACCUUCUGCCUGUGGGAGGAACUGUGACCACCAUCAAAUCAGCUGGCAGUCAUCGGUUUCAACAGUUUGGAUACAGCUUUGAUAUGGGCAGACCAUACACUGACGGGUCAGCCAUCUUGGCAGUUGGAUCUGUGGGGGAAGAUGUAAAGGGGCAUGUUUUAGACGUUCCUGUUACUUUUACUGAUGCUGGAAAGAUACAUCUGUAUAACAUCACUAACUUUGGUGCCAUGCCUUAUAAGAAAGUAGCUACCUUUGAUAGUGAUAGGCGCCACAGUCGGUUUGGUACUCACGUCAAAGAGCACCGAACAAACCCUAGCAGUCCAUCAAUGUAGACAGCAUGUGACUUUGCUUCAAGUUUUCUGACCUGAAUGGUGAUAGAUAUGACGACUUAAUUAUUACAGUUCCAAUGAGAACUAGUGAUGCCUCGGAGGAACUCGAAGGAGCUGAAGAAGGAAGAGUGUAUGUGUUUUUUGGAGG